UGCCCCAUGGCUGAGUUGGUUACAGCGUCCGACUGUUACCCGCUGGAGCAAUCGGAAGGUCGUGAGUUCGAGCCUCACUGGGGCAG
This is a transfer RNA of 86 nucleotides. It matches the Rfam family "tRNA". Rfam says of the family: Transfer RNA (tRNA) molecules are approximately 80 nucleotides in length. Their secondary structure includes four short double-helical elements and three loops (D, anti-codon, and T loops).